RNAcentral lists this ribosomal RNA (335 nucleotides) under Salmonella enterica. Its description in RNAcentral is "bacterial SSU rRNA". It matches the Rfam family "Bacterial small subunit ribosomal RNA", at positions 1050 to 1385 of the family's 1533-position model. Lineage: Bacteria; Pseudomonadati; Pseudomonadota; Gammaproteobacteria; Enterobacterales; Enterobacteriaceae. The record is from RNAcentral.
UGUCGUCAGCUCGUGUUGUGAAAUGUUGGGUUAAGUCCCGCAACGAGCGCAACCCUUAUCCUUUGUUGCCAGCGAUUAGGUCGGGAACUCAAAGGAGACUGCCAGUGAUAAACUGGAGGAAGGUGGGGAUGACGUCAAGUCAUCAUGGCCCUUACGACCAGGGCUACACACGUGCUACAAUGGCGCAUACAAAGAGAAGCGACCUCGCGAGAGCAAGCGGACCUCAUAAAGUGCGUCGUAGUCCGGAUUGGAGUCUGCAACUCGACUCCAUGAAGUCGGAAUCGCUAGUAAUCGUGGAUCAGAAUGCCACGGUGAAUACGUUCCCGGGCCUUGUA